UACGUAGGGUGCAAGCGUUAAUCGGAAUUACUGGGCGUAAAGCGUGCGCAGGCGGUGAUGUAAGACAGAGGUGAAAUCCCCGGGCUCAACCUGGGAACUGCCUUUGUGACUGCAUAGCUAGAGUACGGUAGAGGGGGAUGGAAUUCCGCGUGUAGCAGUGAAAUGCGUAGAUAUGCGGAGGAACACCGAUGGCGAAGGCAAUCCCCUGGACCUGUACUGACGCUCAUGCACGAAAGCGUGGGGAGCAAACAGG
This 253-nucleotide ribosomal RNA is filed under the name uncultured bacterium. RNAcentral describes it as "partial 16S ribosomal RNA". It matches the Rfam family "Bacterial small subunit ribosomal RNA", at positions 524 to 776 of the family's 1533-position model. The record is from RNAcentral.